GCCUGGCUCCACCCCUUCUGUAUUACGUGUGAUUGAAGUCAACCUACUCGACCUACGUGAGCUGGAUACGUGAAAGGGUUCUCAUGGGCAGUCGUGCGAACUGCGCGUGUUAAAGCGCCUGCGCUCUUCGGGAGAAUCGAAGCCCAAGUCUCAAGACACCUAGGUUUCCAAUUGACGGCCUUGUUCGAUUCACCCAUCCGACCAGUGAUUGCAUGGUUGUGAACUGUUUUGCAAGGUAUUGAGACUGGUACAGUUGAUUAAAAUUUGACGUCCACAUUUGCUUGUAAACAGUUUUCUUCUGGCAUAGG
Daphnia pulex (common water flea) is the source of this 308-nucleotide long non-coding RNA. RefSeq lists it as uncharacterized. The record is from RefSeq and is a predicted model, not a curated record. NCBI's taxonomy places the organism in Eukaryota, Metazoa, Arthropoda, Branchiopoda, Diplostraca, Daphniidae. The transcript is spliced from 2 exons.